RNAcentral lists this ribosomal RNA (484 nucleotides) under uncultured bacterium. RNAcentral's name for it is "partial 16S ribosomal RNA". It matches the Rfam family "Bacterial small subunit ribosomal RNA", at positions 30 to 507 of the family's 1533-position model. The record is from RNAcentral.
AUUGAACGCUGGCGGAAUGCUUUACACAUGCAAGUCGAGCGGCAGCACGGGGGCAACCCUGGUGGCGAGCGGCGAACGGGUGAGUAAUACAUCGGAACAUGCCCAGUCGUGGGGGAUAACACUUCGAAAGAAGUGCUAAUACCGCAUACGUCCUGAGGGAGAAAGCGGGGGAUCGCAAGACCUCGCGCGAUUGGAGUGGCCGAUGUCAGAUUAGCUAGUUGGUGGGGUAAAGGCCUACCAAGGCAACGAUCUGUAGCUGGUCUGAGAGGAUGAUCAGCCACACUGGGACUGAGACACGGCCCAGACUCCUACGGGAGGCAGCAGUGGGGAAUUUUGGACAAUGGGGGCAACCCUGAUCCAGCCACUCCGCGUGAGUGAAGAAGGCCUUCGGGUUGUAAAGCUCUUUCGGCAGGAACGAAACGGCGAGCUCUAACAUAGCUUGCUAAUGACGGUACCUGAAGAAGAAGCACCGGCUAACUACGUG